CUCUUUUAGUUUUUAUUGAAAGUCGGGCCUGCUCACUGAUAAAUUAAAGAGCCGCGGUAUUUUGACUGUGCAAAGGUAGCAUAAUCAUUAGUAUAUUAAUUGUAUACUGGAAUGAAAGGUUUGACGAGAAACAUGCUGUCUCUAUUCUAUUCAUAGAAUUUUACUUCCUAGUUAAAAGGCUGGGAUUAAUUUUUAGGACGAUAAGACCCUAUAGAGUUUAACUUUUUUUGUUUAUAUUAUAUUGGUAAUUUUAUUAAUAUUUAUAUUUAAAGUUUUGUUGGGGUGACGUUGAAUAAUAGUUAAACUAUUCAUUUAUUUUUUUCAUUGAUUUAUGUAUUUUUUUUUGAUCUUGUAUUAUUGAUAUAAAGAUAAAAUUACCUUAGGGAUAACAGCGCAAUUAUCUUUGAGAGUUCUUAUUGACAAGAUAGAUUGUGACCUCGAUGUUGGAUUAAGAUUAUUUUCUAGGUGCAGAAGUUUAGUUAAAUU
RNAcentral lists this ribosomal RNA (486 nucleotides) under Paratettix cucullatus. RNAcentral describes it as "partial 16S ribosomal RNA". It matches the Rfam family "Bacterial large subunit ribosomal RNA", at positions 1830 to 2573 of the family's 2925-position model. Lineage: Eukaryota; Metazoa; Arthropoda; Insecta; Orthoptera; Tetrigidae. The record is from RNAcentral.